GUCUAGUUAUAUUCUCCCUAUAGGCCCUAACUAUAACUCUGGUCUAGUUAUAUUCUCCCUAUAGGCCCUAACUAUAACUCUGGUCUAGUUAUAUCCUCCCUAUAGGCCCUAACUAUAGCUCUGGUCCUGGUCUAGUUAUAUUCUCCCUAUAGACCCUAACUAUAACUCUGGUCCUGGUCUAGUUAUAUUCUCCCUAUAUGCCCUAACUACAACUCUGGUCUAGUUAUAUUCUCCCCAUAGGCCCUAACUAUAACUCUGGUCUAGUUAUAUUCUCCCUAUAGGCCCUAACUAUAACUCUGGUCCUGGUCUAGUUAUAUCCUGACUAUAGGCCCUAACUUUAACUCUGGUCCUGGUCUAGUUAUAUUCUCCCUAUUGGCCAUAACUAUAACUCUGGUCUAGUUUUAUUCUCCCUAUAGGCCCUAACUAUAACUCUGGUCCUGGUCUAGUUAUAUCCUCCCUAUAGGCCCUAACUAUAACUCUGGUCUUGGUCAAGUUAUAUUCUCCCUAUUGGCCCUAACUAUAACUCUGGUCCUGGUCUAGUUAUAUUCUCCCUGUAGACCCUAACUAUAACUCUUGUCUAGUUAUAGUCUCCCUGUAGGCCCUAACUAUAACUCUGGUCCUGGUCUAGUUAUAUCCUCCCUAUAGACCCUAACUAUAACUCUGGUCCUGGUCUAGUUAUAUUCUCCCUAUUGGCCAUAACUAUAACUCUGGUCUAGUUAUAUUCUCCCUAUAGGCCCUAACUAUAACUCUGGUCUAGUUAUAUUCUCCCGAUAGGCCCUAACUAUAACUCUGGUCCUGGUCUAGUUAUAUCCUCCCUAUAGGCCCUAACUAUAUGUCUGGUCUAGUUAUAUCCUCCCUAUAGGCCCUAACUAUAACUUGUCCUGGUCUAGUUAUAUCCUCCCUAUAGGCCCUAACUAUAACUCUGGUCCUGGUCUAGUUAUAUCCUCCCUAUAGGCCCUAACUAUAACUCUGGUCUAGUUAUAUUCUCCCUAUAGGCCCUAACUAUAACUCUGGUCUAGUUAUAUUCUCCCUAUAGGCCCUAACUAUAACUCUGGUCUAGUUAUAUUCUCCCUAUAGGCCCUAAAUAUAACUCUGGUCCUGGUCUAGUUAUAUCCUCCCUAUAGGCCCUAACUAUAACUCUGGUCCUGGUCUAGUUAUAUUCUCCCUAUAGGCCCUAACUAUAACUCUGGUCUAGUUAUAUUCUCCCUAUUGGCCAUAACUAUAACUCUGGUCUAGUUUUAUUCUCCCUAUAGGCCCUAACUAUAACUCUGGACAUGGUCUAGUUAUAUUCAUCCCAAUAGGCCCUAACUAUAACUCUGGUCUUGGUCAAGUUAUAUUCUCCCUAUAGGCCCUAACUAUAACUCUGGUCCUGGUCUAGUUAUAUUCUCCCUAUAGACCCUAACUAUAACUCUGGUCUAGUUAUAUUCUCCCUAUAGGCCCUAACUAUAACUCUGGUCCUGGUCUAGUUAUAUU
RNAcentral lists this long non-coding RNA (1473 nucleotides) under Salmo salar (Atlantic salmon). RNAcentral's name for it is "lncRNA (ENSSSAG00000112934.1)". Lineage: Eukaryota; Metazoa; Chordata; Actinopteri; Salmoniformes; Salmonidae. The record is from RNAcentral.